GACGAGCGCUGGCGGCGUGCCUAAUACAUGCAAGUCGAACGCACUCUCGUUUAGAUUGAAGGAGCUUGCUCCUGAUUGAUAAGCAUUUGAGUGAGUGGCGGACGGGUGAGUAACACGUGGGUAACCUGCCCUAAAGUGGGGGAUAACAUUUGGAAACAGAUGCUAAUACCGCAUAAAACCUAGCACCGCAUGGUGCAGGGUUGAAAGAUGGUUUCGGCUAUCACUUUAGGAUGGACCCGCGGUGCAUUAGUUAGUUGGUGAGGUAAAGGCUCACCAAGACCGUGAUGCAUAGCCGACCUGAGAGGGUAAUCGGCCACACUGGGACUGAGACACGGCCCAGACUCCUACGGGAGCAGCAGUAGGGAAUCUUCCACAAUGGACGAAAGUCUGAUGGAGCAACGCCGCGUGAGUGAAGAAGGUUUUCGGAUCGUAAAACUCUGUUGUUGGAGAAGAAUGUAUCUGAUAGUAACUGAUCAGGUAGUGACGGUAUCCAAACC
This 497-nucleotide ribosomal RNA is filed under the name uncultured bacterium. Its description in RNAcentral is "bacterial SSU rRNA". It matches the Rfam family "Bacterial small subunit ribosomal RNA", at positions 28 to 485 of the family's 1533-position model. The record is from RNAcentral.